UACGUAGGGUCCGAGCGUUGUCCGGAAUUAUUGGGCGUAAAGGGCUCGUAGGCGGUCUGUCGCGUCGGGAGUGAAAACUUACAGCUUAACUGUGAGCGUGCUUCCGAUACGGGCAGACUUGAGGUAUUCAGGGGAGAACGGAAUUCCUGGUGUAGCGGUGAAAUGCGCAGAGUAUCAAGAGGAACACCUGCGGCGAAGGCGGGUUGCUGGGCCGACACUGACGCUGAGGCGCGAAAGCUAGGGGAGCGAACGGG
This 254-nucleotide ribosomal RNA is filed under the name uncultured bacterium. Its description in RNAcentral is "partial 16S ribosomal RNA". It matches the Rfam family "Bacterial small subunit ribosomal RNA", at positions 524 to 776 of the family's 1533-position model. The record is from RNAcentral.